This 440-nucleotide ribosomal RNA is filed under the name uncultured bacterium. Its description in RNAcentral is "partial 16S ribosomal RNA". It matches the Rfam family "Bacterial small subunit ribosomal RNA", at positions 338 to 795 of the family's 1533-position model. The record is from RNAcentral.
CCUACGGGGGGCUGCAGUGGGGAAUAUUGCACAAUGGGGGAAACCCUGAUGCAGCGACGCCGCGUGAGUGAAGAAGUAUCUCGGUAUGUAAAGCUCUAUCAGCAGGGAAGAAAAUGACGGUACCUGACUAAGAAGCCCCGGCUAACUACGUGCCAGCAGCCGCGGUAAUACGUAGGGGGCAAGCGUUAUCCGGAUUUACUGGGUGUAAAGGGAGCGGAGACGGCGUUGCAAGUCUGGUGUGAAAGCCCAUGGCUUAACCAUGGUUCUGCACUGGAAACUGUAGAGCUGGAGUGCGGGAGGGACAGGCGGAAUUCCUAGUGUAGCGGUGAGAUGCGUAGAUCUUAGGAGGAACACCGGCGGCGAAGGCGGCCUGCUGGACCGUAACUGACGUUGAGGCUCGAAAGCGUGGGGAGCAAACAGGAUUAGAUACCCCGGUAGUC